Molecule: ribosomal RNA, 559 nt
Filed under: marine gamma proteobacterium LHFL4
Lineage: Bacteria; Pseudomonadati; Pseudomonadota; Gammaproteobacteria
Description: bacterial SSU rRNA
Rfam family: Bacterial small subunit ribosomal RNA
Source: RNAcentral
ACGGCGUCGAGCGGCGGACGGGUGAGUAAUGCCUGGGAAAUUGCCCUGAUGUGGGGGAUAACCAUUGGAAACGAUGGCUAAUACCGCAUAAUAGCUUCGGCUCAAAGAGGGGGACCUUCGGGCCUCUCGCGUCAGGAUAUGCCCAGGUGGGAUUAGCUAGUUGGUGAGGUAAGGGCUCACCAAGGCGACGAUCCCUAGCUGGUCUGAGAGGAUGAUCAGCCACACUGGAACUGAGACACGGUCCAGACUCCUACGGGAGGCAGCAGUGGGGAAUAUUGCACAAUGGGCGCAAGCCUGAUGCAGCCAUGCCGCGUGUAUGAAGAAGGCCUUCGGGUUGUAAAGUACUUUCANCAGUGAGGAAGGUGGUGUACUUAAUACGUGCAUCAUUUGACAGUUAGCUGCAGAAGAAGCACCGGCUAACUCCGUGCCANCAGCCGCGGUAAUACGGAGGGUGCGAGCCGUUAAUCGGAAUUUACUUGGGCCGUAAAGCCGCAUGCAAGGUGGUUUUGUUAAAGUCAAGAUGUNAAAAGCCCCGGGGCUCAAACCUCNGAAAUUGCCA